Bombyx mori (domestic silkworm) is the source of this 142-nucleotide non-coding RNA. The record is from RefSeq and is marked provisional. NCBI's taxonomy places the organism in Eukaryota, Metazoa, Arthropoda, Insecta, Lepidoptera, Bombycidae.
GCGGUGGAUUCGUGGAUUUUCGUGUGGCAAACAGAACAGUGCGUGACAUCAUGUGCGCGUGCUGCUGAGUAACAAUAGCAGCAGCACCCCACGUGUUUUCACGCUCGUAGUCUGUGAAGCAACAAGGCAGCAGUGCAGUGCG